This 253-nucleotide ribosomal RNA is filed under the name uncultured bacterium. Its description in RNAcentral is "partial 16S ribosomal RNA". It matches the Rfam family "Bacterial small subunit ribosomal RNA", at positions 524 to 776 of the family's 1533-position model. The record is from RNAcentral.
UACGUAGGUCCCGAACGUUGCGCGAAUUUACUGGGCGUAAAGGGUCCGUAGGCGGUUUAGCAAGUGGUUGGUGAAAUUUCACGGCUCAACCGUGAAACUGCCUUCCAAACUGCUAAACUUGAGGCAGGGAGAGGACGGCGGAAUUUCCGGUGUAGCGGUAAAAUGCGUAGAUAUUGGGAGGAACACCAGUGGCGAAGGCGGCCGACUGGAACUGUCCUGACGCUGAGGGACGAAAGGUAGGGGAGCAAACCGG